GACGAACGCUGGCGGCGUGCUUAACACAUGCAAGUCGAACGAGAUCCAAUGUGUAGCAAUACACAGGAAGAUCUAGUGGCGAACGGGUGAGGAACACGUGAGAAACGUACCCCAUACUUUGGGAUAACAGUCCGAAAUGACUGCUAAUACCAAAUAACGUCGGAAGUCCGCAUGGACAUCUGACGAAAGGGAUUCAGGUGUUGGAGCGUCUCGCGGACCUUUCAGCUAGUUGGCGGGGUAACGGCCCACCAAGGCAACGACGGGUAGCCGGUCUGAGAGAAUGGUCAGACACACUGGGGCUGAGCCGCGGCCCAGACUCCUGCGGGAGGCAGCAGUGGGUAAUCUAGCGAAGUGGGGGAAAGCCUGACGGAGCAAGGCCGCGUGAGGGAAGAAGGCUUGGAAGAUGUAAACGGCUUUAAGAAGGAACGAAACUGACGGUACCUACAGAAGAAGGAGCGGCUAACUAUGUG
This 470-nucleotide ribosomal RNA is filed under the name uncultured bacterium. RNAcentral's name for it is "partial 16S ribosomal RNA". It matches the Rfam family "Bacterial small subunit ribosomal RNA", at positions 28 to 507 of the family's 1533-position model. The record is from RNAcentral.